Molecule: ribosomal RNA, 269 nt
Filed under: uncultured Prevotella sp.
Lineage: Bacteria; Pseudomonadati; Bacteroidota; Bacteroidia; Bacteroidales; Prevotellaceae
Description: partial 16S ribosomal RNA
Rfam family: Bacterial small subunit ribosomal RNA
Source: RNAcentral
CGACCGGCGCACGGGUGAGUAACGCGUAUCCAACCUGCCCUUUACUUUGGGGAGUAACCCGUUGAAAGACGGACUAAUACCCAAUGACAUUCAUUGAUGACAUCUGAUUUGAAUUAAAGAUUUAUCGGUAUAGGAUGGGGAGUGCGUCUGAUUAGCUUGUUGGUGAGGUAACGGCUCACCAAGGCCACGAUCAGUAGGGGUUCGUGAGAGGAAGGUCCCCCCACAUUGGAACUGAGACACGGUCCAAACUCCUACGGGAGGCAGCAGCU